RNAcentral lists this long non-coding RNA (580 nucleotides) under Gossypium barbadense (sea-island cotton). Its description in RNAcentral is "long non-coding RNA (GBAR_LNC010033)". The record is from RNAcentral. Lineage: Eukaryota; Viridiplantae; Streptophyta; Magnoliopsida; Malvales; Malvaceae.
UCGACCUCGAGAAACCUUUGAGCACAACCGAGAUCGUUCCGGUCAUAGUCUUCUUCCACGGCGGGAGUUUCACUCAUUCCUCCGCAAACAGCGCCAUCUACGACACCUUUUGUCGUCGCCUCGUCAACAUUUGCAAAGCCGUCGUUGUGUCAGUGAACUAUCGCCGAUCGCCCGAACACCGAUACCCUUGUGCGUACGACGAUGGUUGGGCGGCUCUAAAGUGGGUUAAAUCAAGAACUUGGCUUCAAAGUGGAAAGGACUCCAAAGUGCACGUGUACUUGGCUGGCGAUAGUUCUGGUGGCAACAUAGCUCACCAUGUUGCGGUGAGAGCAGCAGAGGCUGACGUUGAGGUACUAGGCAACAUUCUCCUUCACCCAAUGUUCGGUGGGCAGAUGAGAACGGAAUCCGAAAAGAGAUUGGACGGCAAGUACUUCGUGACGCUCCACGACCGCGAUUGGUAUUGGCGAGCUUAUCUACCGGAAGGCGAAGAUCGAGACCAUCCGGCUUGUAACCCGUUCGGGCCAAGAGGUCGAACCCUUGAAGGUCUCAAGUUCCCGAAAAGUCUGGUAGUCGUGGCGGG